AGUGAACGCUGGCGGUAGGCCUAACACAUGCAAGUCGAACGGCAGCACCGUAAGCGCUUGCUCUUACGGGUGGCGAGUGGCGUACGGGUGAGGAAUACAUCGGAAUAUACUUCUUCGUGGGGGAUAACGUAGGGAAACUUACGCUAAUACCGCAUAAGACCUCCGGGUGAAAGCAGGGGAUCUUCGGACCUCGCGCGAUUGAAUGAGCCGAUGUCGGAUUAGCCAGUUGGCGGGGUAAAGGCCCACCAAGGCGACGACCCGUAGCUGGUCUGAGAGGAUGAUCGGCCAAACUGGGACUGAGGCACGGUCCAGACGCCUACGGGAGGCAGCAGUGGGGAAUAUUGGACAAUGGGCGCAAGCCUGAUCCAGCCAUACCGCGUGGGUGAAGAAGGCCUUCGGGUUGUAAAGCCCUUUUGUUGGGAAAGAAAAGCAGCAGUUUAAUACCCCGCUGUUCUGACGGUACCCAAAGAAUAAGCACCGGCUAACUUCGUG
This 492-nucleotide ribosomal RNA is filed under the name uncultured bacterium. RNAcentral describes it as "partial 16S ribosomal RNA". It matches the Rfam family "Bacterial small subunit ribosomal RNA", at positions 29 to 507 of the family's 1533-position model. The record is from RNAcentral.